Molecule: long non-coding RNA, 833 nt
Organism: Triticum aestivum (bread wheat)
Lineage: Eukaryota; Viridiplantae; Streptophyta; Magnoliopsida; Poales; Poaceae
Exons: 4
Source: RefSeq, a predicted model, not a curated record
CCCUAGUCCUGGCCACCCCGUUCUCCCAUUGCGCCGCCGCCCCUACCUCUCUUCCUUCGCUGACCUCCCAUUCGGUGGUAGCAGCCUAGCCUAAUCAUGGCCGGAUCUAGCUGCACUGGUCAUCGGUGCUACCGGAUCUGGCCGCCUCCAGGCCUCAUCAACGCCGCCCCGAUUGUUCACCUCUCCACCGCCACUUCCCCCAUCGCAUCUCAUCCACCUCGCCCAGAUCCAUGAGAGGGUAAGACCUGCAGAGUAGCCGCCUGUCUCCCGAGGAGCUCGUCCCGGCCCCUCCAUGGACUUCAUCCACCGUGGUAGAUCGACCACAAGCUGCAUCGACAUUGAGCGACAUCGAGCGUUCCUCUUCUUCGUGGGGCGUGCACCUUCUGGGGGUGUAGGCGUGCAGCACCUACUGCUAUGGAGGGCGGAUGGCGGGGUGCUUCUAUCAUCAUCAUCGAGCUCAGAUUCCUGCAUAAGCUGGCAUGUUCAUUUCAAAAACAGAUAAAAGAGGAAAAGGUGAUACCAGAAGAUACAAGCAUCUGGAAGUGGGUUCUAAGUGUAUGGCAGAAGCAGCAAUGCAACCAGAAGCAAGGUUUGACAAUGACCUCAAGAUCAGCAAUAUGCUCCUGAACUGAUACCUUAUGCAUGAUUCAUAAGUAACAUAUAUUGGUGUUAGCCAACACAGGUGGUCAAUUCUUUGCUCGAUGAACUUCUCGUGGAUACUUUGUUAUUUCUUUACAAUUUCACCCUUCUUGAUGUAAUCAGAUUGGUAUUGUAUAUGAGCCAAAGUUGAAAAUUGUUUUUAGUCAUAAAUAGAGUUGAUAUAUUUACUUUUA